GUGGUCAUGCCCACAUCUCAUAAUCUCCUCCCCAUCUAGGACUUCAUGUGGGGUCUGGUGACACUUACAGACAUCACAAUAAGGUAUAUGAUUGGCUCCAGCCAGCUGGGCCUCACAGCCUGCUCUAGACCUUGAUUUCUCAGAGGCCCAGAGAGAGACAGGGGCUUGCUCAAGGUGCCCCGGCAUCUGGAGCUGCACGAGUGGGAAGGGAAGCCCAGGACACUGGAUGGCAGGGGGAGAGGAAUGAGCCUGGAGGAGGGGCUUGAGCAAAAGGGUCAGAGGGGCUUUCUGGAGGAGGGAAGACAUUCAUGAGAAGUCCUCAGCUCUUGCAGGGAGUGAUUCUCGCACUCAGCACGCUCUGAUUACCAGAGUGACCUGAGCAGCUGCCUCACGUCUCCUCAACGACGGAGCCCAUAGGCGAGUGACAUGAGAGGAGGCUGCAGGCAGGCCUUCCCCCCACUGUUCUGCAGCCCUGCUGUCCCCCCAGCCACUCUGGCACCCCUCACGGCAAGGGAGCCUGGGGGCAGAGGGUGGACGGAUUUGUUGGCUUGAUUCGCAUGAUGUAUCAGUUACUUCAUGAGGUGUGAGGUACAUUCCGGAGGAACAGAGGAGCGGGAGCCCACUUGCCCCAGCCCUUUGCAGAAGGACCCGCCCGGGAGGGAGGUAGUUUACCCCACCCCAGGGAAGAGGAACUCAUUGAGAAGAGCCCCACACUCCCCUCGAUGGGGGCAGAGACUCUAAUGUUUUCUGAGGGGUUCAGCAGUGCCAGGAGAGAGAUGCACUGCUGUGCACGUAAUAAACGGUUCAUGCCAUUCUUCA
Long non-coding RNA from Panthera uncia (snow leopard), 819 nucleotides. RefSeq lists it as uncharacterized. Lineage: Eukaryota; Metazoa; Chordata; Mammalia; Carnivora; Felidae. The record is from RefSeq and is a predicted model, not a curated record. The transcript has 2 exons.